GUUACCAGCACGUUAUGGUGGGCACUCUAAGGAGACUGCCGGUGACAACCGGAGGAAGGUGGGAUGACGUCAAGUCAUCAUGGCCCUUACGGCCUGGGCUACACACGUGCUACAAUGGUCGGUACAAAGGGUUGCCAAGCCGCGAGGUGGAGCUAAUCCCAUAAAACCGAUCGUAGUCCGGAUCGCAGUCUGCAACUCGACUGCGUGAAGUCGGAAUCGCUAGUAAUCGUGAAUCAGAAUGUCACGGUGAAUACGUUCCCGGGCCUU
RNAcentral lists this ribosomal RNA (267 nucleotides) under uncultured Pseudomonas sp. RNAcentral describes it as "partial 16S ribosomal RNA". It matches the Rfam family "Bacterial small subunit ribosomal RNA", at positions 1114 to 1382 of the family's 1533-position model. The record is from RNAcentral. Lineage: Bacteria; Pseudomonadati; Pseudomonadota; Gammaproteobacteria; Pseudomonadales; Pseudomonadaceae.